RNAcentral lists this ribosomal RNA (502 nucleotides) under uncultured bacterium. RNAcentral's name for it is "partial 16S ribosomal RNA". It matches the Rfam family "Bacterial small subunit ribosomal RNA", at positions 30 to 523 of the family's 1533-position model. The record is from RNAcentral.
AUUGAACGCUGGCGGCAGGCCUAACACAUGCAAGUCGAGCGGCAGCACGGGUACUUGUACCUGGUGGCGAGCGGCGGACGGGUGAGUAAUGCCUAGGAAUCUGCCUGGUAGUGGGGGAUAACGUCCGGAAACGGGCGCUAAUACCGCAUACGUCCUACGGGAGAAAGUGGGGGAUCUUCGGACCUCACGCUAUUAGAUGAGCCUAGGUCGGAUUAGCUAGUUGGUGAGGUAAUGGCUCACCAAGGCGACGAUCCGUAACUGGUCUGAGAGGAUGAUCAGUCACACUGGAACUGAGACACGGUCCAGACUCCUACGGGAGGCAGCAGUGGGGAAUAUUGGACAAUGGGCGAAAGCCUGAUCCAGCCAUGCCGCGUGUGUGAAGAAGGUCUUCGGAUUGUAAAGCACUUUAAGUUGGGAGGAAGGGCAGUUACCUAAUACGUGAUUGUUCUGACGUUACCGACAGAAUAAGCACCGGCUAACUCUGUGCCAGCCGCAGCAGUAA